RNAcentral lists this long non-coding RNA (1279 nucleotides) under Monodelphis domestica (gray short-tailed opossum). Its description in RNAcentral is "lncRNA (ENSMODG00000038116.1)". The record is from RNAcentral. Lineage: Eukaryota; Metazoa; Chordata; Mammalia; Didelphimorphia; Didelphidae.
AUGCCAGGAGCUGUGCCCUCAAGGAGCUCCCAGUUGACUGAGGGAAGACAACACAAAAAUGAAGCUGAAAAGCCGAGGAAAGGAGGCUGUGGGGAAAGAGUGCACAGCCUGGGGCAGAAGAAUUCAGGUGGCUGCUCUGGGCACCCUUCUUCAAGACAGGAUCUAAGAAGAGGCCUCUGCUGUUCAGCCUCCAUCCUCUUCAGUCAGAGCGAGCUCUUCUUUGGAACAAAGGAGGCAGGAAACCGAGGAAAGCCAGCAGUUUUGAAUUGGGCACCAUGACUUUUUCUCGCUUUGAUUCUUCCUUUCUGAGGUGUUGAGCUAGGAAAGACCUCAUCUAAUCAAACUGUUUUUCUUCAGAAAGAAGGAGCUGGAGGCCAUCAAGGAGAAGUUACUCUCCCUACGGUCACAGUAGUUGGCCAUGGCAAAGCCAGGACUUAACCUGGACCCCUUUCCUACACUGCUUUUCCUUCUAGUUUUGGUUUUUAUUAUUUUUUUACCCCCCUUGAAGGCCUUUCUUUGUGCCUCCAGUGUUCAGCAUAGUUCCUGGCGCAUAGUAGGUGCUCCUCAGAUGCUCACUGCCUUGUUGACUAGCUGGUCUGAAUGAGCAGCUUCAGGAAUGACUCUGACAUCCAAACAGAGUCAUGACUCACAGAUACAAUUAUAUAAUCAAUAGCAUUUUUUGUGCUGUGCCAAUUGCUUUCUUGAUGCUAUUCAUGGUGUACAGAUGGGCAGAAGACUCCUUAUGGUCCAUCAGUCUUGGCCCUCUCGGACUCCUUCCUCUUGCAAUAAUUUCCAUCCUCCUUUCUGGCCAUCCAGCCCUCUGUGUCCAUUUCCUCUGAAGUGACUGAAGCUAAAGGCAUAGGUUAGUUCAUUUAUUGGGGUGGGGCGUUGAGUUCUUUGGCUGAAUUCUCUCCCUCUUUAUCCUCGGUAACAGAUGGUGGGGAAUGAGCUGCACUGAUGUUCAUGGUGGUCUUUUUGCAAAUAUUUAUCAUGAGUGCUGCAAUACGAGAUGACCAAACGUCCCGCGAAAUGAUGUUUCUUGUUGCCUUUGGACGAGAGAUAAAACCAGCUCGGCCAAUUCCUUUCUGUUCCUCUCCAAGUAGAACCUGGGAGCUCUCCUUCCAUGGAGCUCCGAAUUCCUUUUGUCUUCUGAUUUUGUUUAUAGCGCUCAUGUCAAGAGUGAUAUGAUUCACUUUUUCCAUUAGGCUACUCACCCAUUGGUCACUGGACAAGAAUCUCCCCUUGACAGCGCCACCAGCUAAGUUAACGUUUAGAUACG